Molecule: ribosomal RNA, 371 nt
Filed under: uncultured organism
Description: bacterial SSU rRNA
Rfam family: Bacterial small subunit ribosomal RNA
Source: RNAcentral
CAGAGGGUGCGAGCGUUAAUCGGAAUUACUGGGCGUAAAGCGCGCGUAGGCGGCUUUGCAAGUCGGGUGUGAAAUCCCCAGGCUUAACCUGGGAACUGCAUUCGAGACUGCGUUGCUAGAGUAUGGGAGAGGGAAGUGGAAUUUCCGGUGUAGCGGUGAAAUGCGUAGAUAUCGGAAGGAACAUCAGUGGCGAAAGCGACUUCCUGGACCAAUACUGACGCUCAUGUGCGAAAGCGUGGGGAGCAAACAGGAUUAGAUACCCUGGUAGUCCACGCCAUAAACGAUGAGAACUGGAUGUCGGGAGGGUCUGCCUCUCGGUGCCGUAGCUAACGCGUUAAGUUCUCCGCCUGGGGAGUACGGCCGCAAGGUUG